GAGUGAAAUGAUGCUUAACCAUCUUUCGGGACUUACCCAUUAAUGGGGAUAACAUUUUCAUACACUGAUCACUC
This 74-nucleotide small nucleolar RNA is filed under the name Anabas testudineus (climbing perch). RNAcentral's name for it is "Small nucleolar RNA SNORD2 (ENSATEG00000020579.2)". It matches the Rfam family "Small nucleolar RNA SNORD2". The record is from Rfam by way of RNAcentral. Lineage: Eukaryota; Metazoa; Chordata; Actinopteri; Anabantiformes; Anabantidae.